This 402-nucleotide ribosomal RNA is filed under the name Cryptosporidium parvum. RNAcentral describes it as "SSU rRNA". It matches the Rfam family "Eukaryotic small subunit ribosomal RNA", at positions 351 to 776 of the family's 1831-position model. The record is from RNAcentral. Lineage: Eukaryota; Apicomplexa; Conoidasida; Eucoccidiorida; Cryptosporidiidae.
AAUGACGGGUAACGGGGAAUUAGGGUUCGAUUCCGGAGAGGGAGCCUGAGAAACGGCUACCACAUCUAAGGAAGGCAGCAGGCGCGCAAAUUACCCAAUCCUAAUACAGGGAGGUAGUGACAAGAAAUAACAAUACAGGACUUUUUGGUUUUGUAAUUGGAAUGAGUUAAGUAUAAACCCCUUUACAAGUAUCAAUUGGAGGGCAAGUCUGGUGCCAGCAGCCGCGGUAAUUCCAGCUCCAAUAGCGUAUAUUAAAGUUGUUGCAGUUAAAAAGCUCGUAGUUGGAUUUCUGUUAAUAAUUUAUAUAAAAUAUUUUGAUGAAUAUUUAUAUAAUAUUAACAUAAUUCAUAUUACUAUAUAUUUUAGUAUAUGAAAUUUUACUUUGAGAAAAUUAGAGUGCUU